UAGGGAAUCUUCGGCAAUGGACGGAAGUCUGACCGAGCAACGCCGCGUGAGUGAAGAAGGUUUUCGGAUCGUAAAGCUCUGUUGUAAGAGAAGAACGAGUGUGAGAGUGGAAAGUUCACACUGUGACGGUAUCUUACCAGAAAGGGACGGCUAACUACGUGCCAGCAGCCGCGGUAAUACGUAGGUCCCGAGCGUUGUCCGGAUUUAUUGGGCGUAAAGCGAGCGCAGGCGGUUAGAUAAGUCUGAAGUUAAAGGCUGUGGCUUAACCAUAGUACGCUUUGGAAACUGUUUAACUUGAGUGCAAGAGGGGAGAGUGGAAUUCCAUGUGUAGCGGUGAAAUGCGUAGAUAUAUGGAGGAACACCGGUGGCGAAAGCGGCUCUCUGGCUUGUAACUGACGCUGAGGCUCGAAAGCGUGGGGAGCAAACAGGAUUAGAUACCCUGGUAGUCCACGCCGUAAACGAUGAGUGCUAGGUGUUAGGCCCUUUCCGGGGUUUAGUGCCGCAGCUAACGCAUUAAGCACUCCGCCUGGGGAGUACGACCGCAAGGUUG
RNAcentral lists this ribosomal RNA (550 nucleotides) under uncultured bacterium. RNAcentral's name for it is "bacterial SSU rRNA". It matches the Rfam family "Bacterial small subunit ribosomal RNA", at positions 355 to 896 of the family's 1533-position model. The record is from RNAcentral.